Molecule: ribosomal RNA, 383 nt
Filed under: Chelipoda sp. NCSU-95051120
Lineage: Eukaryota; Metazoa; Arthropoda; Insecta; Diptera; Empididae
Description: eukaryotic LSU rRNA
Rfam family: Eukaryotic large subunit ribosomal RNA
Source: RNAcentral
UGGCUCUGAAGAUUGAGAUAAUCGGGCUUGAUUGGGAAACAAUAAUAUGGUUUAUGUACUCGUUCUGGGUAAAUAGAAUUUAUUGAAAUUUAUUUUAAUGAAUUUCUUCCCCGGAUAGAAGUUUAGUUAACCAAUUGUGGAACUUUCUUGCUAAUAAUAUAUUAUAAAUUAAUAAUUUUUUAAUUGUUAUAUUUUUAUAUAUUUAUAACGGUUAUCAAUUAACAAUCAAUUCAGAACUGGCACGGACUUGGGGAAUCCGACUGUCUAAUUAAAACAAAGCAUUGUGAUGGCCCUAGCGGGUGUUGACACAAUGUGAUUUCUGCCCAGUGCUCUGAAUGUCAAAGUGAAGAAAUUCAAGUAAGCGCGGGUAAACGGCGGGAGUA